RNAcentral lists this ribosomal RNA (310 nucleotides) under uncultured bacterium. RNAcentral's name for it is "partial 16S ribosomal RNA". It matches the Rfam family "Bacterial small subunit ribosomal RNA", at positions 503 to 807 of the family's 1533-position model. The record is from RNAcentral.
AAGAGACAGCAGCCGCCACGGUAAUACGUAGGUCCCGAGCGUUGUCCGGAUUUAUUGGGCGUAAAGCGAGCGCAGGCGGUUCCUUAAGUCUGAUGUGAAAGCCCCCGGCUCAACCGGGGAGGGUCAUUGGAAACUGGGGAACUUGAGUGCAGAAGAGGAGAGUGGAAUUCCAUGUGUAGCGGUGAAAUGCGUAGAUAUAUGGAGGAACACCAGUGGCGAAGGCGACUCUCUGGUCUGUAACUGACGCUGAGGCUCGAAAGCGUGGGUAGCAAACAGGAUUAGAGACCCCCGUAGUCCCUGUCUCUUAUAC